This is a long non-coding RNA of Pseudoliparis swirei, 2061 nucleotides long. RefSeq lists it as uncharacterized. NCBI's taxonomy places the organism in Eukaryota, Metazoa, Chordata, Actinopteri, Perciformes, Liparidae. The transcript has 2 exons. The record is from RefSeq and is a predicted model, not a curated record.
AGCAAGCUUUUUGCUACAGCCCCAUGGAGACGGGUCACAUGUUAGAAUGCUUUAUAUAUUUGAAGGGAAAUUUCUGCACCUUUUUUUAACAUUUUUUAUUUGUAUUAUUCUUUAUGGACGUCCAGUCGGUGUUGAUGCUAAAGGUUGUUAAUUAUUAACUGGGAAAGCUGAGUUCCCCUGCUCGCGGAGGUGUGCUGGCUGUGCCGACAUGUUCCAGGAUGCAUUUCGCGCAAGCCACUGACAUCCAGCUGAAGCAUAGUGAAGCCGAGUUCCCCCCCUCGGUAAUGGAACACAAAAACACAGGUCCUGUCAUCAGCGUAAAACAAGCCGGAGACAACUCUUGAUUAUUUUCCACGCUCCAACUGCAGCACAUGUCGGCUUCACUCCAAAUUUUCUCUAUGCAGGAAAAACCCUGUCACCAUAAAAGCACACCUCAAAUGUGCUUAACGUUUUGCCAACUCAACCUCUUUCAAUAGUGUGGUGACGGUUUAUCUCUUGGCUCCUGCAAAAGGUCUCCAGUAUACCUGUGUCCAGGUUGUUUGUCUACGAAAUACAAAUCAAACCUGUACUGGUCCUACCCGCCUGCGGGUAAACACUUGUAUGUGGCUUAGGACAACAACCGCCUUCAAAGUGUCUUAGUCCAACCUUCACCGGCCAAGUGCUGCACAUGAACGCAACACGUUACUGAAGGCAAACAAAACGUGUCUGCGCGUGAGACAGGAAAUUGUCAGGAGAAGAGCUAGUUAACUUUAACGGAGGUUGCAUUAAAUUUCAUUAUGAUGCGUUCAGGCUCUAUUCAAUGAAAUAAUUAGAAAAAUGCAUGAAGGUAAAUUCUAACGAAAUCAAGAUGUGUUGAGACGAUAUCCUGUAAAGGGCAGUUUUUGGUGAGAGGCUUGUACAAGUACAGUCUGAAGGAUGUUUUCACAGCCAUGUUAAAUGUAUAUUCCUGAGGUACUACAGGGUGUCCGCGGGUCCUUAAAAAGUCUUAAAUUGCUUUUCCUAAAAAUAAGGCCUUAAAAAGUCUUAAAUUGUCUUAAAUUCAGAUUGGCUUGGUCUUAAAUUUUUUGGGUGUCAUGUCAUUACGAAUAUGAGGCAAUCUGUUCCGCCAGGUCCGCAUUUUGCUGCUCUAUGGUGUCUCUGGUGUCACCGGGGCCACGCCCCUUCUCUUAAAGGGGCCCCGCGUAUUCGGUCCCAUCAAUCCCCUACAACGUGAAGCAUCGACUAGUUUAGAAAACAUGGGGGGGAUGCAAGUUCAACAAAAAAUGGCUAGAAAAGAACGAGUGUUUCUGGUCACGGUCGGUGAAAUGCUUCUGAAGCUGCGUUAUGUGUCGGGAGACUUUCCAGCGGUGGAAUCUCACGAGCAGAGCAAGAAGCACAGAGACUAGCGAAGGCCGCCAGCAGCCCGCGGGGCUAGCUGCUGCUCCGCCGCGAGCUCCUGCUCCGCCGCCCGCAACGACGUCAACGCUACAACGCUGGAGGUCACCGGAGGAAAUCCAGCGCCGUGCAACAAAGAGCUCAUCACCGAAGACCAACGCUGCGGCGCGUUCUUCAUUCUGUUCCACGAGUCUCUGGACCAGACCACCGCGAGCAGACAGCUGGACUUCAUGUGCGUUAUUGGUGACAUGACCACGUCCCGUCAGGAUCCUAUGGAGCACAGCUCAUGGGCCAUGACACCAGGACCUACUUCAGCAUCUCAAAGAGAAUGGACCAAAUGUCAACUGGAAGUUUUUAUAUUAAUACAGUUUGAAAAGGAUUGUUUUCCUAGUAUAUUCACAAAAGCUCAGGAGUAGACAUGAACCUGUGCACAAACAUCCAUUACAUAGAGACAUGAGAACUCACACUCACUCACUCACCCACACACACAUACAUUCUAUUAUGUAAAUGUAUUUGCAUUUUAAAAGCAGCUGGAAAUGUUGUUUAUGUUAUUUUAUAGAUUGUUUUUGUUCAAAAGGAACUAUGUUGCACGUAUUUUAAAAAUAUAUUUACUUAAUUUUAUAGACAUUUGUUCAUGGGACCUAAAUGUUCUGAAAAUGUAUUAAUAAAUAUAAUUUACAACAGCAA